Molecule: ribosomal RNA, 914 nt
Filed under: uncultured marine archaeon
Lineage: Archaea
Description: bacterial SSU rRNA
Rfam family: Archaeal small subunit ribosomal RNA
Source: RNAcentral
UUCCGGUUGAUCCUGCCGGAGGCUACCGCUAUUGGAGUUCGAUUAAGCCAUGCGAGUCGCGAGUCUUAGGGACUCGGCGUACCGCUCAGUAACACGUGGGUAACCUGCCCUAUGCUGGGGGAUAACCUCGGGAAACUGAGAAUAAUACCCCAUAGUUCACCACGCCUGGAACGGUGGGUGGACCAAAGCUCCGGCGGCAUAGGAUGGGCCUGCGGCGUAUCAGGUUGUAGGGGGUGUAAUGUACCCUCUAGCCCUCUACGCGUACGGGUGUUGAGAGACAUCGCCCGGAGAUGGAUUCUGAGACACGAAUCCAGACCCUACGGGGUGCAGCAGGCGCGAAAACUUGGCAAUGCGAGAAAUCGUGACCAGGGAACUCCAAGUGCAUCGGGUAAGACCGAUGCUUUUCUUGACUCUUCAAAGGUCUUGGAAUAAGGGGUGGGUAAGGACGGUGCCAGCCGCCGCGGUAAUACCGGCGCCCCAAGUGGUAGUCGCUUUUAUUGGGCCUAAAACGUCCGUAGCCGGUCUGGUACAUUCGUGGGUAAAUCAACCAGCUCAACUGGUUGAAUUCUGCGAGCACGGCCAGACUUGGGACCGGGAGAGGUGUGGGGUACUCUUAGGGUAGGGGUAAAAUCCUGUCAUCCUGAGGGGACCACCUGUUGCGAAGGCGCCACACUAGAACGGAUCCGACGGUCAGGGACGAAGCCUAGGGGCACGAACCGGAUUAGAUACCCGGGUAGUCCUAGGUGUAAACGCUGUGGACUUGAUGUUGGGGGCGCUCCGAGCGCACUCAGUGUCGAAGCGAAGGUGAUAAGUCCACUGCCUGGGGAGUACGGUCGCAAGGCUGAAACUUAAAGGAAUUGGCGGGGGAGCACCGCAACCUGAGGAUUGUGCGGUUUAAUUGGAUUCAACGCCGG